Molecule: transfer RNA, 71 nt
Filed under: Nippostrongylus brasiliensis
Lineage: Eukaryota; Metazoa; Nematoda; Chromadorea; Rhabditida; Heligmosomidae
Rfam family: tRNA
About the family: Transfer RNA (tRNA) molecules are approximately 80 nucleotides in length.
Source: Rfam by way of RNAcentral
AUUUCAGUAGCAUAGUGGUUAGUGCACAUCCCGAGAAGGUUGAGACGCGGGUUUGAAUCUCGCCUGAGAUG